Arachis ipaensis is the source of this 591-nucleotide non-coding RNA. The record is from RefSeq and is a predicted model, not a curated record. Lineage: Eukaryota; Viridiplantae; Streptophyta; Magnoliopsida; Fabales; Fabaceae.
AAAAGGAAGGCAGCAACAUAACUUUAAUCGGCUAAACCUCUCACUUUGCUCACACUCACUCUCUUCAUCUUCGCGUUUCGUCCUCCAUCCCUCGCCGUCGUCCAUCCUUCACUGCCGUUUGCUGUUCGUCAUUCCUGAAACCACCGUUCUCUCACUCUUAGUCUCUCAUUCAGCUCGACACUCUCUCACUCUCUCACUCUCUGUUCUGCAUCGAAGAAUGUGGACUCGUGGAGCCUCUGCCAUCCGCCAUGCUGCCAUCGCUCGUCGUGUCUUCUGCCCCUCAUCGCGCUUCCGCCGUUCGUUCUGUCAGGUGUCAGCCCGUCGUGUGUCUGCACAGCACAGCAUAGCAACGCGAGUGUUAGCUAAGCCUACUCCAUUCAGCCAUUCAGAUUCAGCCUUCAGGGACAUGUGAAUGAUGAUGAUUUUGUUGGCUGGGUCGAACCUGAACUUGAAAGAAAUGAUGUUUCUGAUGAAGAUGGUGAAGAUGAUGAUGUUGAUGCCAUAAAAGAUGAAGAUAGGAUUUCAGUUUUAGACUUUUAGUUUAUUAGAACAUUUAAUUGUUACUUUGUUGUUUUCUUCUUUUUUUUUUUU